AUCACACAUAUACGAAAAUUGGAACCAUACAGGGAAGAUCAACAUGGCCCCUGUGAAAGGCUAACAAGCAAAUUCGUGAAGCAUUCCAUAUUUGC
RNAcentral lists this small nuclear RNA (95 nucleotides) under Peromyscus maniculatus bairdii (prairie deer mouse). The record is from RNAcentral. Lineage: Eukaryota; Metazoa; Chordata; Mammalia; Rodentia; Cricetidae.